This 253-nucleotide ribosomal RNA is filed under the name uncultured bacterium. Its description in RNAcentral is "partial 16S ribosomal RNA". It matches the Rfam family "Bacterial small subunit ribosomal RNA", at positions 524 to 776 of the family's 1533-position model. The record is from RNAcentral.
UACGGAGGAUCCAAGCGUUGCCCGGAAUCACUGGGCGUAAAGGGCGCGUAGGUGGCGCGGGCAGUCAACGGUGAAAGUUCGGGGCUCAACCCUGAAUCGGCCGUCGAUACUCCCGUGCUUGAGCACUGUAGAGGCAGAUGGAAUUCCGGGUGUAGCGGUGGAAUGCGUAGAGAUCCGGAAGAACACCGGUGGCGAAGGCGGUCUGCUGGGCAGUAGCUGACACUGAGGCGCGACAGCGUGGGGAGCAAACAGG